UUCCAGACUCCUACGGGAGGCAGCAGUGGGGAAUAUUGCGCAAUGGGGGCAACCCUGACGCAGCAACGCCGCGUGCGGGACGAAGGCCUUCGGGUUGUAAACCGCUUUCAGCAGGGAAGAACCAUGACGGUACCUGCAGAAGAAGCCCCGGCUAACUACGUGCCAGCAGCCGCGGUAAUACGUAGGGGGCGAGCGUUAUCCGGAUUCAUUGGGCGUAAAGCGCGCGUAGGCGGCCCGCUAAGCGGGACCUCUAACCUGGGGGCUCAACCUCCAGCCGGGUCCCGAACUGGCGAGCUCGAGUGCGGUAGGGGCAGGCGGAAUUCCCGGUGUAGCGGUGGAAUGCGCAGAUAUCGGGAAGAACACCGAUGGCGAAGGCAGCCUGCUGGGCCGACACUGACGCUGAGGCGCGAAAGCUAGGGGAGCGAACAGGAUUAGAUACCCUGGUAA
RNAcentral lists this ribosomal RNA (447 nucleotides) under uncultured bacterium. Its description in RNAcentral is "bacterial SSU rRNA". It matches the Rfam family "Bacterial small subunit ribosomal RNA", at positions 329 to 793 of the family's 1533-position model. The record is from RNAcentral.